This 253-nucleotide ribosomal RNA is filed under the name uncultured bacterium. Its description in RNAcentral is "partial 16S ribosomal RNA". It matches the Rfam family "Bacterial small subunit ribosomal RNA", at positions 524 to 776 of the family's 1533-position model. The record is from RNAcentral.
UACAGAGGUCCCAAGCGUUGUUCGGAUUCACUGGGCGUAAAGGGUGCGUAGGCGGUCGGGUAAGUCUGAUGUGAAAUCUCGGAGCUCAACUCCGAAACGGCAUUGGAUACUAUCUGGCUGGAGGUUGGGAGGGGGGACUGGAAUUCUCGGUGUAGCAGUGAAAUGCGUAGAUAUCGAGAGGAACACCAGUGGCGAAGGCGAGUCCCUGGACCAAUCCUGACGCUGAGGCACGAAAGCCAGGGGAGCAAACGGG